AUGGGAGGUACUGUGCUAGCCUUGGAGAAUGUGUCAGAUGCAAAAAGCACAGCUAUGGGACUGCCAUUAAUUUAUUCCUGUAAAUGCUGGCUCUGCUCUAUUAGCAGCAUUCUCCAGAUUCUCAAAAAUCCAGGAGGGCAGCCUGAAUAAGCACAGCUGCAGCCAAGAAGAAGGCCCUGACAAAUGAAACCACCCAUUUUGAAAGUCUGUGAAGAGAUGGAGAGCUGACACAGAGCUGAGGCCAGGCAAGGAGACAGAGCUCAGGUGUCAGAAGCUUGCACAAAUAAUGCACACCCUCUGCCCUUCCACACAGUGGAACAAAGCCACUGCUUGCCAUCACCCAGGCUCCUGCUGCCUGCUAGGAAAGCAAGUGAUGAGUGCAUCUCUAAAACCCAGCUCUGAGACAGCAGCUUGAACCUCUUUUGGGAGCCCCACGCGCUGCCAGGGUGCGCGCUCCGACGCGCGGGGAGACGCUGCGGGCUCGGUUUUAUCUGCCAGAGCCAAGGCAGGAGCACACACGGGCUCACCCACCUUCUGCAAAGGUUAUUCAUCACCACAGCAACCUCCAAACAAAGGUGGGAGCCAAGUCAAACCGACUGGCUUCACCCAGCCCUGUCCCUCUGAUGACAGAGGGCAAAGGUGCUCUCUGCUUGUGCCCUACAGGGGACUUAAUUGCUUGGGUUUGUUUUUAUGUCACUGGGUCUCACAAUUCCACUCUCAGCAUCCCAGCGUGCCCAGAGAGGCCACAGGGAUCCAUUAAACAAUAAAAAUUCUUCUGUAG
Long non-coding RNA from Cyanistes caeruleus (blue tit), 781 nucleotides. RefSeq lists it as uncharacterized. Lineage: Eukaryota; Metazoa; Chordata; Aves; Passeriformes; Paridae. The record is from RefSeq and is a predicted model, not a curated record.